AACAUCUCAGACAGGCCAUGGGCAUGAAAUCAUGUCAAGCCCAAAUAUCUAUCCAUAUGUAUCUCAGUUUGAUGACGAUAACUCGAUUGAUAAACUAGUAAAAAUCUUUUAUACUAUUCAUCCCUACUUUGGCCAGAGACUCUUAGAGUCAUCAUCCUAUGAGAUCACAUAGGAUGUUCUCUCCUCCUACAAGGAGGGAUCAAUUUCAUGUUGACCACUCACA
This 223-nucleotide long non-coding RNA is filed under the name Elaeis guineensis (African oil palm). RNAcentral describes it as "long non-coding RNA (EGUI_LNC038096)". Lineage: Eukaryota; Viridiplantae; Streptophyta; Magnoliopsida; Arecales; Arecaceae. The record is from RNAcentral.